Molecule: microRNA, 23 nt
Filed under: Xenoturbella bocki
Lineage: Eukaryota; Metazoa; Xenacoelomorpha; Xenoturbellidae
Also listed under: 1 other name
Description: xbo-miR-219
Gene: xbo-miR-219
Source: miRBase by way of RNAcentral
UGAUUGUCCAAACGCAAUUCUUU